Molecule: long non-coding RNA, 376 nt
Filed under: Medicago truncatula (barrel medic)
Lineage: Eukaryota; Viridiplantae; Streptophyta; Magnoliopsida; Fabales; Fabaceae
Description: long non-coding RNA (MTRU_LNC004868)
Source: RNAcentral
UUUUCACGUACAAAGUGUUUUUUCUAAACCUAGGUCUAUUCUUUUAUAUCUCUCCUUAAUAACUUAUCUUAUUUCACUUUCUCCCCCAAAACUAUCUAAAAUAUCAAAACAGCCCUCAACUAAAUAUUUUUCAAAUCUUUAUUUUAUUUAACAAUAAAAUAAAUUCUCUAAUCUUAUCAAAUCCUCCAAAACUCAUAACUUAUCACGUCAUCAAUCAAAUCAUCAAAAUCACCACAAAUCAUCAAAACAUAUCAAAAUCAUGCAUAUAUUAUAUAAUUAUAAUAUAAUUGCCUAAACUCGAUUAAAUAACGAUUAAACGAAAGUGGGCGUUACAACUCUCCCCCACUUAAAAGAUUUUCGUCCUCGAAAAUUUACC